AGGAGUCAGUCACUCUCAGGGU
Molecule: microRNA, 22 nt
Filed under: Canis lupus familiaris (dog)
Lineage: Eukaryota; Metazoa; Chordata; Mammalia; Carnivora; Canidae
Description: Cfa-Novel-12_5p* (star (passenger))
Source: RNAcentral